RNAcentral lists this ribosomal RNA (253 nucleotides) under uncultured bacterium. Its description in RNAcentral is "partial 16S ribosomal RNA". It matches the Rfam family "Bacterial small subunit ribosomal RNA", at positions 524 to 776 of the family's 1533-position model. The record is from RNAcentral.
UACGGGGGGGGCAAGCGUUGUUCGGAAUUACUGGGCGUAAAGGGCGCGUAGGCGGCCUUCUAAGUCAGACGUGAAAUCCCUCGGCUCAACCGAGGAACUGCGUCUGAUACUGGAAGGCUUGAAUCCGGGAGAGGGAUGUGGAAUUCCAGGUGUAGCGGUGAAAUGCGUAGAUAUCUGGAGGAACACCGGUGGCGAAGGCGGCACCCUGGACCGGUAUUGACGCUGAGGCGCGAAAGCUAGGGGAGCAAACGGG